GGAAGCCCUGUCUCAGGGCUAUUUGUUCCCGGAAAUCCUGGCACCUCACUAGGAAGCUAAAGCUUUUGAGAGUUGGCCAUUCAGAGCAUCAUGGAUUCCAAGGACGAGUUGACCAACCGGGCCUAGGAAGCCUUAACAGUCGGCUGCGGAACUUUUCUCUCUAAAUUCUGACAAUAAACUUCUAGAAACCAUCUGCAUUCCUUGGCUCAUGGCUCGUCUUCAAAUCCAACCUCUGCUUCUGUGGUCAUCGCGUCUCCUUCUCUGACUCUGACUCCCUUCCUUCCUUCACUGAUGAGGACCCUUGCAACUGCACUGGGCCCACCGAGAUGAUCCAGGAUAAUCUCCCCAUCUCAAGAUCUUUAACUUAAUUACAUCUGAAAAGUCACUUUCGCCACUUAAGGGAGAAGAGCCUACACAGUAGAGAUGAG
RNAcentral lists this long non-coding RNA (428 nucleotides) under Equus caballus (horse). Its description in RNAcentral is "lncRNA (ENSECAG00000057747.1)". Lineage: Eukaryota; Metazoa; Chordata; Mammalia; Perissodactyla; Equidae. The record is from RNAcentral.